UUAGGAAUUUUGCGCAAUGGGCGAAAGCCUGACGCAGCAACGCCGCGUGAGGGAAGACGGCUUUCGGGUUGUAAACCUCUUUUAGCAGGGACGAACACAAUGACGGUACCUGCAGAAAAAGCACCGGCUAACUACGUGCCAGCAGCCGCGGUAAUACGUAGGGUGCAAGCGUUAUUCGGAUUUAUUGGGCGUAAAGCGCAUGUAGGCGGUUCGGUAAGUCUGGUGUGAAAGCCCUCGACUCAAUCGAGGAAGUGCAUUGGAUACUGUCGAACUGGAGUGCAGGAGGGGUGAGCGGAAUUCCAGGUGUAGAGGUGAAAUUCGUAGAUAUCUGGAGGAACAACAGCGGCGAAGGCGGCUCACUGGACUGUAACUGACGCUCAGAUGCGAUAGUGUGGGGAGCAAACA
This 405-nucleotide ribosomal RNA is filed under the name uncultured prokaryote. RNAcentral describes it as "bacterial SSU rRNA". It matches the Rfam family "Bacterial small subunit ribosomal RNA", at positions 355 to 774 of the family's 1533-position model. The record is from RNAcentral.